RNAcentral lists this ribosomal RNA (556 nucleotides) under uncultured bacterium. RNAcentral's name for it is "bacterial SSU rRNA". It matches the Rfam family "Bacterial small subunit ribosomal RNA", at positions 338 to 916 of the family's 1533-position model. The record is from RNAcentral.
CCUACGGGAGGCAGCAGUAGGGAAUAUUGGACAAUGGGGGAAACCCUGAUCCAGCAAUGCAGCGUGAGUGACGAAGGCCUUAGGGUUGUAAAACUCUUUCAUCGGUGAGGAUAAUGACAGUAGCCGAAGAAGAAGGACCGGCUAAUUCCGUGCCAGCAGCCGCGGUAAUACGGAAGGUCCUAGCGUUGUUCGGAAUUACUGGGCGUAAAGCGCAUGUAGGCGGAACAAAAAGUUAGAAGUGAAAUCCCUGGGCUCAACCUAGGAAUUGCUUUUAAAACUUUUGUUCUGGAAUUCAGGAGAGGAAAAUGGAAUUUCCAGUGUAGAGGUGAAAUUCGUAGAUAUUGGAAGGGACACCAGUGGCGAAGGCGAUUUUCUGGACUGAUAUUGACGCUGAGAUGCGAAGGCAUGGGUAGCAAACGGGAUUAGAUACCCCGGUAGUCCAUGCAGUAAACGGUGGGUGCUAGUCGUCGGACUUUUGUUCGGUGUCGUAGCUAACGCGUUAAGCACCCCGCCUGGGGAGUACGGUCGCAAGAUUAAAACUCAAAUGAAUUGACGG